UACAGAGGUGGCAAGCGUUGUUCGGAAUUACUGGGCGUAAAGGGCGCGUAGGCGGCCUUCUAAGUCAGACGUGAAAUCCCCCGGCUUAACCUGGGAACUGCGUCUGAUACUGGGAGGCUUGAGUAUGGGAGAGGGAUGUAGAAUUCCAGGUGUAGCGGUGAAAUGCGUAGAUAUCUGGAGGAAUACCGGUGGCGAAGGCGGCAUCCUGGACCAUAACUGACACUGAGAGACGAAAGCCAGGGGAGCAAACGGG
This 253-nucleotide ribosomal RNA is filed under the name uncultured bacterium. RNAcentral describes it as "partial 16S ribosomal RNA". It matches the Rfam family "Bacterial small subunit ribosomal RNA", at positions 524 to 776 of the family's 1533-position model. The record is from RNAcentral.